RNAcentral lists this unclassified non-coding RNA (245 nucleotides) under Hevea brasiliensis (rubber tree). Lineage: Eukaryota; Viridiplantae; Streptophyta; Magnoliopsida; Malpighiales; Euphorbiaceae. The record is from RNAcentral.
GAAAAAACUCGAUGCUAUUAAGUGACUCGGGUAUUGAUUUGUCGAAGUGGAAAGAACUGCAAAAUCAAGAUGGAGAAAUGGCUGACUUGAAUAAGUUUGUUCAACACGUGAGUGAAAAUUAUUUCAUCCCAAAUAGUGUUAUAGUGGAUUGCACUGCAGACUCUCAUAUCGCAAGCCAUUACUAUGACUGGUUGCAUAGAGGAAUCCAUGUGGUCACCCCAAAUAAAAAGGCUAAUUCAGGACCA